RNAcentral lists this unclassified non-coding RNA (1286 nucleotides) under Hevea brasiliensis (rubber tree). Lineage: Eukaryota; Viridiplantae; Streptophyta; Magnoliopsida; Malpighiales; Euphorbiaceae. The record is from RNAcentral.
GUUGAAGUGGUCAAAGGCGGAUUUCGGUUCUAAAAAUUAUAGGGUUCUUCAAUUUAAUUUUCGAUUUAAUUUUAAUUAAAGUUAAUAUAUUUUUUUAAAGAGAAACAUUUGCUUUGAAUUGAAAUAGGAUCGAAUUGAGUCUCCAAGAAAAAGAAUGGGAUCGAAUUGAAUCCAACAGUCCUAUUCGAAUUUAAAUUCAAUUUUAAUUCAUUUAAAUUUGAUUGAUUUCAGGUUGAUUUCAAUUCAUAAUUGCACAGGCAGUGGAGGUGAGGACUGUGGAUGGACACGAAGAAAUUGGAACAGAGAAUAAUUUAUUGAAGCAAUAAAAUAGUAGAGGAAGAGGAACGUGGCCAUGCCGGAGUUGUAAAAUAAUGCUAACAAAGAAAAGUGAGAAGAAAGAGACGGGCAAACACAAAGAAUCAGAUUGAGAGAGAGAGUGAGAGAUGGCAAAUCCACAGCUAAAAUAGGAAACCCACAAAAAAAGGGACAAUCGGGAGGUGGGCAAAUGCUGGAAUAGAGUGGCUGUGAAUAAAAGAGUUUGAGAUUUAUAUGGGGAGCGGAACUCUCGUGGAAGGUGUUCGUCGCUGGUUUCAACGCCGCAACGUUUCAUCAUCCUCUUCUUCUUCAUCUUCUAAUACUGUGAAUGGUGGAGAUAAUAAUAAUAUUAGUGGUCAGCCACAAUCUUCGGCUGCUAGUGUGCGCGAAAGGCGAAGCAAGGAAGGGGGUGGAAAGCAGCGGCAGGAGGAAGAGAAUCAGUUAACGGUUAUUGAGGAUUAUGAUUUCUAUGGAUUAAAGCAGAUUAGAGUUCCUAAACGAAAUACCCAUUUCGCUUUUGGCUCUACUACUACUACUACCUCCAUGGAUCCACACAAGAAGGGCUCUGCUGAAGCAGAUUUUUUCACUGAGUAUGGAGAGGCAAGUCGAUAUCAAAUACAAGAAGUCAUUGGGAAAGGCAGUUAUGGUGUUGUUGGCUCUGCAGUUGACACUCAUACUGGAGAAAAGGUUGCAAUCAAGAAAAUAAAUGAUGUUUUUGAGCAUGUUUCUGAUGCCACACGUAUUUUGAGAGAAAUUAAGCUUCUUCGGUUGCUUCGACAUCCUGAUAUUGUAGAAAUAAAGCAUAUAAUGCUUCCUCCUUCACGUAGAGAAUUCAGAGAUAUCUAUGUUGUUUUUGAGUUGAUGGAAUCUGAUCUUCACCAAGUAAUUAAGGCAAAUGAUGAUCUUACUCCCGAACAUUAUCAGUUUUUCUUGUACCAGCUUCUUCGAGCUCUGAAAUAUAUACACUCAGC